This 77-nucleotide transfer RNA is filed under the name Candidatus Dormiibacterota bacterium. Its description in RNAcentral is "tRNA-Lys". It matches the Rfam family "tRNA". Rfam says of the family: Transfer RNA (tRNA) molecules are approximately 80 nucleotides in length. Their secondary structure includes four short double-helical elements and three loops (D, anti-codon, and T loops). Further hydrogen bonds mediate the characteristic L-shaped molecular structure. tRNAs have two regions of fundamental functional importance: the anti-codon, which is responsible for specific mRNA codon recognition, and the 3' end, to which the tRNAs corresponding amino acid is attached (by aminoacyl-tRNA synthetases). tRNAs cope with the degeneracy of the genetic code in two manners: having more than one tRNA (with a specific anti-codon) for a particular amino acid; and 'wobble' base-pairing, i.e. permitting non-standard base-pairing at the 3rd anti-codon position. Lineage: Bacteria; Bacillati; Candidatus Dormiibacterota. RNAcentral also lists the same sequence under 1 other name. The record is from RNAcentral.
GGGCCCUUAGCUCAGUUGGUUAGAGCUUCUGCCUUUUAAGCAGAGAGUCGUGGGUUCGAGUCCCACAGGGCCCACCA